AUUGAACGCUGGCGGCAUGCCUUACACAUGCAAGUCGAACGGCAGCACGGGUGCUUGCACCUGGUGGCGAGUGGCGAACGGGUGAGUAAUACAUCGGAACGUACCUUAUCGUGGGGGAUAACGCAGCGAAAGCUGUGCUAAUACCGCAUACGCCCUGAGGGGGAAAGCGGGGGAUCGAAAGACCUCGCGCGAUUAGAGCGGCCGAUGCCUGAUUAGCUUGUUGGUGGGGUAAAAGCCCAACAAGGCGACGAUCAGUAGCUGGUCUGAUAGGACGAUCAGCCACACUGGGACUGAGACACGGCCCAGACUCCUACGGGGGGCAGCAGUGGGGAAUUUUGGACAAUGGGGGCAACCCUGAUCCAGCAAUGCCGCGUGAGUGAAGAAGGCCUUCGGGUUGUAAAGCUCUUUUGUCAGGGAAGAAACACCGGCUCUAACACAGUCCGGGAAUGACGGUACCUGAAGAAUAAGCACCGGCUAACUACGUGCCAGCCGCCGCAGUAA
This 501-nucleotide ribosomal RNA is filed under the name uncultured bacterium. Its description in RNAcentral is "partial 16S ribosomal RNA". It matches the Rfam family "Bacterial small subunit ribosomal RNA", at positions 30 to 523 of the family's 1533-position model. The record is from RNAcentral.